CGUGGCCAUUCUUCCCUUACAUUCUUCAUUCUUCCUCUUCGCCGUCGUCUCGCCGAUCGUCCCUCAUAUCGUCGCGAUCUGCCGGAAUUCCCACGAACGCACGCAUCGAACAUCCGUUGCAGCCUCUCGCAUCCUUCCUUUCACUCAGUUUCUGUUGCUGAUCUGCUGCACUCUCUCAUUGAUGAACACUGCACUGCGCCAUGAAGUUCCUGGAGUACACCCCGCUUGCCCGAAUAAAUGCGUUUCUGUCUCAUGUCGACGUGGGAGGCUGCAUGAUUCAAGGUGGCUUGGAGGCGUACUCUUGCAAGAUUGCAGGAGUUGAUAAGAAGCUGUCAAGGAGUUUGGAGCAAGAGGUGGUGGAUUCUUUGGCAUAUUCGCCCUUGGACCUCUCUACCUCGCCAGUUGGGCCCCUCUCUAACACGGCAAGUCGCAGGACACUGAUUUAUCUGAUUCUGACCUUGAAUCAUAUGUAUCCUGAUUACGAUUUCAGUAUGUUGCGACCCCACCACUUUACCAAAGAACAUGGACUUCUUGCCGCAAAGCAAAAGAUUGACGUAUCUUUGGUUGAGGCAUCCAAGUUCUGGUCUGCGGAAGCUGCUGAAGAAACAACAUUGAUGGACAGCAUAUGGAAUGCCAUUGAUGAGGUGAUGAGCUUGGAGGAUUGUGAGAUGGUCUUUUAACUAUUUCUUCUACAACAAGAAACAGAAGCGCAUUCUCUACUUCAGUUCUCGAUGCAUAAGCAAGUUAUCUAUGGAUACAGCUUCUAGCGAUGAUGGGUCUGGCGAGUGGGACUCGGACUUUGUAGAUGGCAUGGAUCUUGAAGGUUAAGAUUGAAUCCGCCUUGUGUUGAUACGUAUUAUAUUUUGUUUGUAUAGCCUGUAAAUAGCAAAUGGAAGUUAAUGGUGGAUGUGAAAGCAUUCUAGUGUACUUUAACAAUCAGCUUAGAAGUAAUGUGUACAACCAUGCUUUGUAUGACCAUUUUAUUUACAGCACUGUUCAGUGUACGUUGGUAAAUAUUUACAUCACUUCGGAUAAGAGUACCAUGGGGAUUAGUAUCCGUGCUUGAAGAUAUUCAUUUGAAACCUUAGGAACUACCGUAGGUGUUUUGUCUGUAAUUAUAUGAUACUUCAGACAUGCAAGGAAA
Molecule: non-coding RNA, 1144 nt
Organism: Physcomitrium patens
Lineage: Eukaryota; Viridiplantae; Streptophyta; Bryopsida; Funariales; Funariaceae
Source: RefSeq, a predicted model, not a curated record